This 516-nucleotide ribosomal RNA is filed under the name Triticum aestivum (bread wheat). RNAcentral describes it as "partial small subunit ribosomal RNA". Lineage: Eukaryota; Viridiplantae; Streptophyta; Magnoliopsida; Poales; Poaceae. The record is from RNAcentral.
AUGCUGCGGACGGUUCUGCGCCGGGGAGGGGCGGCCAUGAGGCAGGCCGCGCUGGCCGAGGGAUCUACGGGGAACCUUCUACGGCUGAGCGUGGCGGAGCGGGAGCGCUCUCGGCGGCGUCGGCGCGACCCGGGGCGCGACGAGUUCUUCGUGCCAACGCCGGAGUCGCUUAAAUGGCUCGACUCCGUCACCCUGCCCAUGAUCCUCACCGCCGCCGCCGUCGCCCUCUUCACCAAGCUCCUCAUGAUGGAACAUGAAGCUACAGACCAAGAAAGGAGGGAACGCAAGAUAAAGAAUAGUCACCCUGAGCAAGGAACAGUAAGGAUGCUUUCGCGUGAAGAGUGGGAUGAAAUCCAAGAAGUCAGGCCAAGGACCCCUUUUGAAUCAAAGUUAGCUCGUCCACAUGCCCGCCUAAGAACUGGGGAAAAAAUGCGGCUGGAGGAUGCCAAGGAUUGGGUUGUUGAUGUGCUGACUGAUGCUUUCACUAGAGCGGAAGAGAGUGCUAAGCGGAAGUGA